GAAUAUUGGACAAUGGGCGAAAGCCUGAUCCAGCAAUGCCGCGUGAGUGAUGAAGGCCCUCGGGUCGUAAAGCUCUUUUACCAGGGAUGAUAAUGACAGUACCUGGAGAAUAAGCCCCGGCCAACUCCGUGCCAGCAGCCGCGGUAAUACGGAGGGAGCUAGCGUUGUUCGGAAUUACUCGGCGUAAAGCGCACGUAGGCGGCUACUCAAGUCAGAGGUGAAAGCCCGGGGCUCAACCCCGGAACUGCCUUUGAAACUAGGUGGCUAGAAUCUUGGAGAGGUCAGUGGAAUUCCGAGUGUAGAGGUGAAAUUCGUAGAUAUUCGGAAGAACACCAGUGGCGAAGGCGACUGACUGGACAAGUAUUGACGCUGAGGUGCGAAAGCGUGGGGAGCAAA
This 396-nucleotide ribosomal RNA is filed under the name uncultured bacterium. RNAcentral's name for it is "bacterial SSU rRNA". It matches the Rfam family "Bacterial small subunit ribosomal RNA", at positions 359 to 772 of the family's 1533-position model. The record is from RNAcentral.